Molecule: ribosomal RNA, 253 nt
Filed under: uncultured bacterium
Lineage: Bacteria
Description: partial 16S ribosomal RNA
Rfam family: Bacterial small subunit ribosomal RNA
Source: RNAcentral
GACGGAGGUGGCAAGCGUUGCUCGGAUUUACUGGGUGUAAAGGGCACGCAGGCGGUUCUAUAAGCCUUGCCUGAAAUGCCUUGGCUCAACCAAGGCACUGGGUAGGGGACUGCAGAACUUGAGGGUGGAAGAGGCGAACGGAAUUCCCGGUGUAAGGGUGAAAUCUGUAGAGAUCGGGAGGAACACCAGUGGCGAAGGCGGUUCGCUGGUCCACUUCUGACGCUCAUGUGCGAAAGCUAGGGGAGCAAACAGG